RNAcentral lists this ribosomal RNA (422 nucleotides) under uncultured Bacteroidota bacterium. RNAcentral describes it as "uncultured Bacteroidetes bacterium partial 16S ribosomal RNA". It matches the Rfam family "Bacterial small subunit ribosomal RNA", at positions 355 to 774 of the family's 1533-position model. Lineage: Bacteria; Pseudomonadati; Bacteroidota. The record is from RNAcentral.
UAAGGAAUAUUGGUCAAUGGAGGCAACUCUGAACCAGCCAUGCCGCGUGCAGGAAGAAGGCCCUACGGGUUGUAAACUGCUUUUGUACAAGAGAAAACCUCCCUACGUGUAGGGAGCUGAUAGUAUUGUAAGAAUAAGCAUCGGCUAACUUCGUGCCAGCAGCCGCGGUAAGACGAAGGAUGCAAGCGUUAUCCGGAUUCAUUGGGUUUAAAGGGUGCGUAGGCGGUCCUGUAAGUCAGUGGUGAAAUCUCUCAGCUUAACUGAGAAACUGCCAUUGAUACUGCAGGACUUGAGUACAGAUGAUGUUGGCGGAAUAUGACAUGUAGCGGUGAAAUGCUUAGAUAUGUCAUAGAACACCGAUUGCGAAGGCAGCUGACAAAACUGUAACUGACGCUGAGGCACGAAAGUGUGGGGAUCAAACA